Macadamia integrifolia is the source of this 547-nucleotide long non-coding RNA. RefSeq lists it as uncharacterized. The transcript has 2 exons. NCBI's taxonomy places the organism in Eukaryota, Viridiplantae, Streptophyta, Magnoliopsida, Proteales, Proteaceae. The record is from RefSeq and is a predicted model, not a curated record.
UCCGUGGUGGCGACCUUACCCCGGCAUAAGCUGCAGGUCUCACUGGCCUUCUUGAAAAGCCCGGCUUGGCUAUUUGAGAAUGUUAUUUGCCGGACGCAAAGCUUCGUUGCCGGUCCUUUUGUUUUCUAUCUUUUGACGACAUAAGAUUGAUAAAUGCUAUCUGGAUGUGUUUCAAAUUUACCUUCUACUGUACUAGUAUCAUCAAUCUGUGAGUCUCCUUGAUUAUGGUAGAAAGGACAUCAAGAAGGUCGCCAGAAGAUAGAAAUUAAGGGGAUCGAGAACAAAGCUGCCACCAAGAAACAUUCUCAGAGUGUCAAGACGGGCUUUUCAUGAAGCCAGUGAGACUUACACCUUAUGGGGGUGAGGGGUGACCAUCAACUCAGUUGGAGAAGUUUAUCCUAUUGUGUUUUAAUGAAAUAUGUACACCGUGAUCAUGGGCCCUUUAAAAUUGCUUACUGCAAUCUGUUAUGGUUGUAAUCUCAUAAAAAAAUAUAUAGUAUGAUAAACAAUAAUAAAGUGGUUGUUUUUAUCUUUUUUUAGAUUUCAA